CGGGACGGGUGAGUAACGCGUAGGAACCUAUCGCACAGUGGGGGAUAACACUGGGAAACCGGUGCUAAUACCGCAUGUGGUCAGCGAUGAAGAAAGCAGCAAUGCGCUGUGUGAGGGGCCUGCGUCCGAUUAGCUAGUUGGUGGGGUAAGGGCCUACCAAGGCGACGAUCGGUAGCUGGUCUGAGAGGAUGGUCAGCCACACUGGGACUGAGACACGGCCCAG
Molecule: ribosomal RNA, 223 nt
Filed under: uncultured bacterium
Lineage: Bacteria
Description: partial 16S ribosomal RNA
Rfam family: Bacterial small subunit ribosomal RNA
Source: RNAcentral